This 108-nucleotide microRNA precursor is filed under the name Hevea brasiliensis (rubber tree). RNAcentral's name for it is "miR6484 stem-loop (hbr-MIR6484)". The record is from miRBase by way of RNAcentral. Lineage: Eukaryota; Viridiplantae; Streptophyta; Magnoliopsida; Malpighiales; Euphorbiaceae.
GGCUUCUCAAUUUUGGGAAAUUAUCAAUUUGGAUUGGAGCCCAAUACUGUGACAUUUACUACCUUAAUUAAUGGGCUCUGCAUAGAUGGUAAAAUCAAUGGAGCAGUA